CACGCUCCUCCGUCUUCUUUCCUUCUGAACUAACCCUCAAGGCGCCCUCUUGGCUGGGACUUGAAGGUAGGCCCUGGAAGCUUCCCAGUUGAAGGGGUAAUGGUCAGGGGACCAUUCAAGACAUGCGGAUGGAUUCAAAAUACACGUGGGAUGAUACCCUCCGAAGAUACUUAGUAUCUAGACUGCUUCGAUUUAACAAGGUGACGCCCACCCGGGCCCACGUACACUCAGGCCCUCGAGUCUCUGACUCAACAAGCCACAGAUGUUGCUCUCCAGACUCUUCCCAGGCAAACUUCAGCUCUUUUUCACCUACUGCUUCUCAACUUUUUUUUUAAGAGAACAAAUUGAUGGCUACCAGAGAGCAGACCCUUACCGCUGAGUCAGCUGGGAAGCUCCACCGACAAGUACACACUGCUAUACUGAAAAUGGAUAACCAACAAGAAUCUGCCGUGUAGCACAGGGAACUCUGUGAUCAGGCCUCUGAACUUUGGAGCCGCAACGUUCUUAGCACCAUACAUCUGGAAGCAUCUUUUUAAAAGCAAAAAAUUUUCUAUCCUCACUGAGGCAAGUAAUCACGUCUGGAACAAUUACAUUGUCAUAUGCUCCAGAUCUGUGCUUUCUGCCUAAUCAGAAAAAUAAUUACAGCAACAGACUUCAGGCAGACCUGGACAUACUACAGGAAUCCAUGCCUGGAAAACUGACCUGAUUUCACCCAGUAUUUCAAAUAAACAACUCAGGAAUGUG
Molecule: non-coding RNA, 744 nt
Organism: Odocoileus virginianus texanus
Lineage: Eukaryota; Metazoa; Chordata; Mammalia; Artiodactyla; Cervidae
Source: RefSeq, a predicted model, not a curated record